RNAcentral lists this ribosomal RNA (158 nucleotides) under Clarireedia gladioli. Its description in RNAcentral is "Stromatinia gladioli 5.8S ribosomal RNA". It matches the Rfam family "5.8S ribosomal RNA". From Rfam's summary of the family: 5.8S ribosomal RNA (5.8S rRNA) is a component of the large subunit of the eukaryotic ribosome. It is transcribed by RNA polymerase I as part of the 45S precursor that also contains 18S and 28S rRNA. The record is from RNAcentral. Lineage: Eukaryota; Fungi; Ascomycota; Leotiomycetes; Helotiales; Rutstroemiaceae.
AAAACUUUCAACAACGGAUCUCUUGGCUCUGGCAUCGAUGAAGAACGCAGCGAAAUGCGAUAAGUAAUGUGAAUUGCAGAAUUCAGUGAAUCAUCGAAUCUUUGAACGCACAUUGCGCCCCUUGGUAUUCCGGGGGGCAUGCCUGUUCGAGCGUCAUU